This 433-nucleotide ribosomal RNA is filed under the name uncultured bacterium. RNAcentral's name for it is "partial 16S ribosomal RNA". It matches the Rfam family "Bacterial small subunit ribosomal RNA", at positions 29 to 507 of the family's 1533-position model. The record is from RNAcentral.
AACGAACGCUGGCGGCAGGCCUAACACAUGCAAGUCGAGCGAGGACUUCGGUUCUAUCUGCGGACGUGUGAUUAACGCGUGGGAAUUUGCCCUUCUCUACGCAAUCGCCCAGGUAGACUGGGAUUCAUACCGUUUACGCUCUUUUCGGGUAAGAUCUAUCGGGGAAGGAUCAGCCCGCGUUGGAUUGGGUGGUUGGUGGUGUACUGGCAUACCAAGCCGUCGAUGCUUAGCUGGUUUGUGAGGAUGAUAAGCCACACUGGGAAUGAGGCACGGACCAGACUGCUACGGGAGGGUGCAGUAGGGAAUACUAGAGAAGGGGGGCAACCCUAGUAUAGCCGUGCCGCGUGAGUGAUGAAGGGCUUAGGAAUGUAAAGCUCUUUCAGCUGGGAAGAUAAUGACGGUAACAGCAGAAGAAGCCCCGGCUAACUACGUG